This 441-nucleotide ribosomal RNA is filed under the name uncultured bacterium. RNAcentral describes it as "partial 16S ribosomal RNA". It matches the Rfam family "Bacterial small subunit ribosomal RNA", at positions 338 to 795 of the family's 1533-position model. The record is from RNAcentral.
CCUACGGGUGGCAGCAGUGAGGAAUAUUGCACAAUGGGGGAGACCCUGAAGCAGCGAAGCAGCGUGAAGGAAGACGUAUCUCUGGAUGUAAAGCUCUAUCAGCAAGGAAGAAGAACGACGGUACCUGACUAAGAAGCACCGACUAACUACGUGCGAGCAGACGCGGUAAUACGUAGGAGGCGAGGGUUAUCCGGAUUUACUGGGUGUAAAGGGAGCGUAGACGGCUGUGCAAGUCUGAAGUGAAAGCCCAGGGCGCAACCCUGGGACUGCUGUGGAAACUGGCGAGCUAGAGUGCUGUAGAGGUAAGCGGAAUUCGUGGUGUAGCGGUGAAAUGCGUAGAUAUCAGGAAGAACCCCAGUGGCGAAGGCGGCUUACUGGACAGUAACUGACGUUGAGGCUCGAAAGCGUGGGGAGCAAACAGGAUUAGAUACCCGUGUAGUC